UCGGAUUGUAGUCUGCAACCCGACUACAUGAAGCUGGAAUCGCUAGUAAUCGCGGAUCAGAAUGCCGCGGUGAAUACGUUCCCGGGUCUUGUACACACCGCCCGUCACACCAUGGGAGUCGGAAAUGCCCGAAGUCUGUGACCUAACCGUAAGGAAGGAGCAGCCGAAGGCAGGUCGGAUGACUGGGGUGAAGUCGUAACAAGGUAGC
This 208-nucleotide ribosomal RNA is filed under the name uncultured bacterium. RNAcentral describes it as "partial 16S ribosomal RNA". It matches the Rfam family "Bacterial small subunit ribosomal RNA", at positions 1293 to 1500 of the family's 1533-position model. The record is from RNAcentral.